Molecule: unclassified non-coding RNA, 165 nt
Filed under: uncultured fungus
Lineage: Eukaryota; Fungi
Description: sequence contains ITS1
Source: RNAcentral
CAGAAGGUCUUGCACCUGAAAACCACUGUGAACUCUUUUAUCUUUGGCUGCCUCGGCGGGCAAUCCCAGGGCGGGAUUCCGGGCCUCCUUCGGGGGGGCGUCCGCCGGCGGCGCAACUCCAGCUCUUGUCUGUGGUGGGCUUCUGAGUGGCUUGGAAAAAAAUCA